CCUGCUCCUCAGCCACCCCACCAGCAAGAGGCUCCACGAGGAGCUGGGAGGGGACACAGCCAGCACAGAGACCCCAGCUGACCCAGGGGAUGUCCCAUAAUGUGGCACCAUGCCCAGCACAGAAAUCUGGGGAGCAGGAGGAAGGGGGGACCUUUGGAGUGCUGGUGUUUGCCUUCCCAAGUCACUGUCACAGGGGAUGGAGCCCUGCUGUCCUGGGCAUGGCUGAGCACCUGCCUGCCAUGGGAAGAGGCAAUGAGUCCCUUGGUUUGCCUCGCCUGUUAAACUGCCUUUAUCCAACCCACUCAGUUUUCUCACUUUUUUACCCUUCCAAUUCUUUCCCCCAUCCCGACGUGGGGGGAGCAAAUGGCUGUGUGGGGCUGAGCUGCCAGCUGGGAUUACACCACAACAGCUGCUUCCAUGUUUUCCUGCCUGCUGUCCACCCAUUCACAUUAGCCUUAUGAUUCCUACUUACACAUUAAGUAACAGCUAUGAAUUUGUCUAUUGCCAAAGAUGCCUGUUCAUCAACCAGACAACAAACUGUGGCACGAAAGCAUUUUGCUCAUAACUCAGUGCAGGAACAACUGACGACAAAGUCAGUGAUGCAGGAGCCCAAAGAAAACUGAAGCAGGAGAUUAAAUGCUUAUCACCUGAUUCCUGGUGGAAAAAGAUUGCUCUCAUCAGAUAAAGAUCAAGAGGAGGUGCUGUAGUUAAAAGCAGGUAAAUAGGGAAUUACACAGUAAAAAUGCUGGUUCAUCACUUGGGAUGUGAUGCUCCUGUCAUACUGUGCUAUUUAAAAUCAGAAGCAGAGCAGUGGUGGGAAGGAAGACUCGGGUAAUGCUGCCAGAUGGAGCAGGGCUCUGGGAGAGCACGGGGGGCUCAUUCUGCUCCUCUGGCUGAGAGCAUCUGUCUGCCCUGGCACCGCAGGGCUCCCGCCUGGCCACUGCAGCCCCUCCCGUGCAAACACGGCUCUGGGGGUCGGGUGGGGAGAGCUGAGCCCCCCGCCUGUGCUGCUCACUGUCUGCAGCCCUGGCCCACGCACACUCCUGGGUCCUGCGGCUCUGCUGCUCCGGGAGCACCCCCGCCCCAGGUGCUGCUGCCAUGGGGAGGAACCAGCGUGCAGAGAGGGUGGGGGGCUGCACCCUCCAAGCAGGAAGCAGCAACAGAGAUCCGCUGAGAUAAUUUUGAGCAGCUGGUGCAGGAACUGGUGGUGAUUUUUAACCACCCAGCCGGCAGCUGUGAGACCACCCCUCCUGGCUCGCCCACAGAAAGGGAAGCUGUGCUACAUCCCUCAGCCUUUUCCAGCAGCUUGUUUUCAAUAAGUGACCACUGCAAUUGCUGGUGGGUGCUGGAAGUCGCACUCGAGAGCAGAGGUGAUUUGUGAGAUGCUGCCAGUGAGGACACGGGUGACAACCCAGCUUGCGAGUGCUGAGAUGGCAACUUUGGAGCACACGCCCAGCUCUCUUACUGCCGCUUGCAGAGGGAAGGUUUUCUUCAACCCUUUCUUACAAAAGGUAAAGCACAAAAGCUGCACGUGCCCCUUCUGCCUGGCCUGCGAGAGGAAACCUUGUGCUCCCUCCAAAAAGCCCUCAGAUGUCAAAUUUGCCAGCUUUCAAAGAAAACACAUCAAUGCAUUUCUGUACUGGCUUAUGAGACUGAGGACAGGAGAAGGGAAAACAACAAAAAUGAUUUGAUGCACCGUCUCAGCUCAGCCUGUCAAACUGAUAUCCAUCAAUUAAAAAUGCAGCCGCUAACCUGGUCAGCAUAAGCAACUCUGUACCACGCUGUUACCAUUCCACGUGCACAAACAGCUGCUACUUAGCUGGGAACGAUUUCUGGGUUAGACUGUUCUGAUCUGCAGAAAUAACAGUGGGACCAAAAAAACCAGCGAGAAUACAACCAGCAGCCCGACAAAUUUGGGUCACACAGAGAAUCCGCUAAUCCAGCAGCUCAGCGAGCAGAGCCACAAACCCAAACUGAUUUCGCGGCUCCAUGGCUACCUGUGUUCGGGAUUAACCGAGCCCCAGGGCUUUACACCUGCAGCACCGCGCCUCUCAAGCACCGCUGGAACGCUGUCACCCGAAGGCAGCCCUGCGCUGCCAGACGCGUCUGUCACCAGCGCUGUCACCACCGCAGGCUCCAGCCGCGCUGCCCGGGGGUCCCGCGG
This is a long non-coding RNA of Passer domesticus (house sparrow), 2164 nucleotides long. RefSeq lists it as uncharacterized. NCBI's taxonomy places the organism in Eukaryota, Metazoa, Chordata, Aves, Passeriformes, Passeridae. The transcript is spliced from 4 exons. The record is from RefSeq and is a predicted model, not a curated record.